Molecule: long non-coding RNA, 1345 nt
Organism: Gavialis gangeticus (Gharial)
Lineage: Eukaryota; Metazoa; Chordata; Crocodylia; Gavialidae
Exons: 2
Source: RefSeq, a predicted model, not a curated record
AUGUGCCGGCCAUUGUCGUCGCUGUCGUAGGGGAUUCUGUUUAGAGCACCCUGCCAUUUGGUCGUAGCCUACUAAUGCUGCCAGGUAAUACCUAGAAAGUCAAGUCUGCAAGAUAAACUUAAUUACACACACAUGAUUUUUAGCUCUUGUGCUUGAAAAAUAAAACAAGGAACAUGUGAUGGACCUGAAAGUAGCUUUAAGCUAGAAUUGUUUUUGUUGGCUGAAGUUGGUUUAAUUCAGUUGAACCUGUUUGCUUCAGGGGGUAAUUACGGCCUUUGCCAUAAUCUGGCAUAAUCUCCCACUAAAAAAGCCAUCUCUCUUUUUGACCUCAGCCUCUUUAUUAGUUUAAAUUGUCAGGAACUGGACUGAAAGGAGUUUUGUAAAGAGAGCAUAAAACAAAGUAAUAUUUCUCCCAGCAAGGAGGGCUGAGCUAGCCAUCUAUUAUUUCUUUCUUCCAGAGCUGCCUUGUACCCUGUAUUCUGUAUGCUCUAACUUAGAAACACCUUGCUGAGCUGCAUUCCCAGAACACUGCUGUUCCAGCCAUAGUGGUCCUCGUGACUUAGCUCUGCCCACGUAUGUACAAGAAAUUAGGCAGAUGGCUUGAGAGAGUUAGGUAGGGGAGGAGCUGUUGGGACAUUUUGGGUACCAUUAUCAGUGCCCACAUUACUAGUGGUUCCUCUGCUUUUGCCCUCCUACUGUAAACACUGGGACAUAACUGGCAUCCUUUGAGGCUGUGUAGCACCCAGCAGGUUUUGAGUUGAAUACCACUGGAUGCCCUGUCCCCUUUUAAGGCAUUUAACUGCACAAAUGUUUUGCUUCAAGCCUGUUUCUCAGAAAGGAAAAGCACCUUUAUAAAUACGCAACUCAUGCUAAUCUUUGUGAGCCCCACCCUGUACGUAAUACAGACACUGUAGCUAAAAUAGGUGUUUGUUUUAAAAUAUCUAGAAUUUUAAUUGGAUGUAUUUUUGCUUACUUAUAUGCAUAGCCAGAGUGAAAUGUUUGGAGAUACUGUCUAGUAGUCAUCCCCCAAACCUGACAUCAUUUUACUACAAUUUGAUACAAAUGUCCUUUGGAUCACUUACUUUAAUCUCUCUCAAAUCAGUAAGAUUAAAAAAAAUCAAAGGCCACUGUUGUGUAGAGAUAAAAGCACAAGUUGAACAUUGCCGUGAAAGGUGUGGUGAUGCUUCCAGUGAUGGGUACUGUGCGGGUCUAUACAGCCAUUUGAGUUCCAUUGCUGGGAUUUGAAAUUGCAAAGGAAAAGGGCCGGGGGCGGGGGGGAAAUAUCCAUGUUUUGCCAUGUAGAAAAGGGUUUUAACCCCCCCCCCCCCCCACACACACACACACA